CCUCCUCAGCCACUCUCCCAACUUCUUUUCAGUCCUCAGCCUGGAGGCCUUCCCACAAGAUGAAUUAGACAGCAAACUGCCUGCCUCCCCUUCCCUGCCUUCAUGUUAAGCGAAGCCCUCCCUGACAUCUUUUAGUUAGUUAGUGCCAGUUGUUAACAGCCAUCUCUGCACUCCGCCUAUCUUUAAUAGCCUCUUACUGCAUUAGACACCAGUCUGGUAAUCCAGCUUUGUACCCAUAAGACCAUAAAAUCAGGGCACCUUGUUUCUUGUGGGAUCCAGAAGACCCAUCAUGAUAACUGGUACAUGGGAGAAGUCAAGUCUCUCACACUCCGCUUGAAGUCCGUCCUGCCUUUAAACCUCUUCCUUCCAUCACUCCUCACGCACGAACGCUUUGACAUCUGGCUUCUGAUUCCGCCUUUUAAAGUACAGUUCAUGGAGGUGAUUUUAAUUUUUAAGCACUAAUCAUGGGUGCUGUUGUUACCAUGGAAACCAAAUUUCCUCACCUGAGACAUGACAGCCGUGAUCACCCCUGACAGUCCUCAGACCUGAAUUUCAGACAAUCAGAGGCAAAGCAAUUUGGAGGCCUGUUCAUUUUGAAUUUCCACUUUUGUGAUUUUGGGGAAGCAUAGUGAGGCCCUUCCCAAUUUGUUGGAAGCAAAGAAAAGCCUGUGAAUGGAGAGCCAACUGCCAACUUUCAGUCCAAGGUAUCAGUCCCAAACACGUUUUUAUUAUUCUCUGGAAAAUAAGGUCGUAAAAAAGUAAUUGCUGACACAACCUUAAUGAUAGUAUUUUAAGUAUGCUGCCUGUAAUUAAAAUAGGGAUUUUAUUACGCUAGACCUCCGAGAGCCCAGCCUGUGCACCAUUCACGCCUCCCGGAUUUACAAAGCAAGCAACUUUGAUGCCUGCUGCUUUUGCUGUGUGGGCUGCACACUUCCUUUGUGCCUCUCCUGGUUGCUGCUUAUGUACAAAACCACCUCUCUCCUGGCAAAAAGCAAUAAGCAUCUGUGUUUCCAACGGUGCCCCGCAGCGACAGCGCCGCAGCUUUCUGCAGACUUCCUUGAGAAAUGUCAUGAAGGAGCUCCUCUUUCUCCUUUGAUUUCCCUCCAAUCAAACUUUCAUGUAUUGCACAAUGAGGUUAAAAUCCUACAAGGCUUUCUGAUUAAAGUUUGAAGAGGACUCUCUCAUUUCAGAAUUAGUAGCUGAUAUCUGAAAACUACUCUUGAACUCAAAGACAGCAAAGAACCAUGUGCUAAGAAUUGUGGACCAACGAGACAGCAAGGCCAUUGUCUAUAUUGUUGUGAGACACCACCCUGGCCAUGAGUUAGUUGCCUUUCAAUUCUUUCAUAAGAGAGAACUCACACGGUGGAGAAGGCACUAUGAACUGGUAUCACCUGCUCUCUACAACCACACCUAAUCCUACAAAUUAAAAGUAGCUUGAGACUUUU
Molecule: long non-coding RNA, 1445 nt
Organism: Mastomys coucha (southern multimammate mouse)
Lineage: Eukaryota; Metazoa; Chordata; Mammalia; Rodentia; Muridae
Exons: 3
Source: RefSeq, a predicted model, not a curated record